RNAcentral lists this ribosomal RNA (1393 nucleotides) under uncultured bacterium. RNAcentral describes it as "16S ribosomal RNA". It matches the Rfam family "Bacterial small subunit ribosomal RNA". The record is from RNAcentral.
UUAGAGUUUGAUCCUGGCUCAGCAUGAACGCUGGCGGCGUGCCUAACACAUGCAAGUCGAGCGAAGCACUUAAGUUCGAUUCUUCGGAUGAAGACUUAUUUGACUGAGCGGCGGACGGGUGAGUAACGCGUGGGUAACCUGCCUCAUACAGGGGAAUAACAGUUGGAAACGACUGAUAAUGCCGCAUAAGCGCACAGCAUCGCAUGGUGCAGUGUGAAAAACUCCGGUGGUAUGAGAUGGACCCGCGUCUGAUUAGCUAGCUGGUGGGGUAACGGCCUACCAAGGCGACGAUCAGUAGCCGGCCUGAGAGGGUGAACGGCCACAUUGGGACUGAGACACGGCCCAAACUCCUACGGGAGGCAGCAGUGGGGAAUAUUGCACAAUGGGGGAAACCCUGAUGCAGCAACGCCGCGUGAGUGAAGAAGUAUUUCGGUAUGUAAAGCUCUAUCAGCAGGGAAGAAAAUGACGGUACCUGACUAAGAAGCACCGGCUAAAUACGUGCCAGCAGCCGCGGUAAUACGUAUGGUGCAAGCGUUAUCCGGAUUUACUGGGUGUAAAGGGAGCGUAGGCGGCGGGGCAAGUCAGAACUGAAAGCCCGGGGCUCAACCCCGGGACUGCCUUCGAAACUGUUCUGCUAGAGUGUCGGAGAGGUAAGCGGAAUCCUACUGUAGCGGUGAAAUGCGUAGAUAUUAGGAGGAACACCACUGGCGCAGGGCGCUUACUGGACGAUAACUGACGCUGAGGCUAGAAAGCGUGGGGACCACACAGGAUUAGAUACCCUGGUAGGCCAGCGCCUAGAACGAUGAAUACUAGGGUGUCGGGGUAGUAGAGUACUUCGGGGCCGUCGCACACGCAGUAAGUAUUCCACCUGGGGAGUACGUUCGCAAGAAUGAAACUCAAAGGAAUUGACGGGGACCCGCACAAGCGGUGGAGCAUGUGGUUUAAUUCGAAGCAACGCGAAGAACCUUACCAAGUCUUGACAUCCCACUGACCGGACAGUAAUGUGUCCCUCUCUUCGGAGCAGUGGUGACAGGUGGUGCAUGGUUGUCGUCAGCUCGUGUCGUGAGAUGUUGGGUUAAGUCCCGCAACGAGCGCAACCCCUGUCCUUAGUAGCCAGCAGUAAGAUGGGCACUCUAGGGAGACUGCCGGGGAUAACCCGGAGGAAGGCGGGGAUGACGUCAAAUCAUCAUGCCCCUUAUGAUUUGGGCUACACACGUGCUACAAUGACGUAAACAAAGGGAAGCAACCCUGUGAAGGUGAGCAAAUCUCAAAAAUAACGUCUCAGUUCGGAUUGUAGUCUGCAACUCGACUACAUGAAGCUGGAAUCGCUAGUAAUCGCGAAUCAGAAUGUCGCGGUGAAUACGUUCCCGGGUACUUGUACACAGCGCCCGUC